GAGCGCGGGCGGUGUUUUAACUGUUAAUUUCGUAUUCGACGAAUUCGCGACGCGUCGUUCAAAAAAGAUUCUUAUUUUGUGCAGUAAUCGCGUAAAAAUUAAACUAAUCGAAAAUAUUGAUUCUCCAAUGCGGUUUAGGAAACUCACACGAGUUAUUGGCAUCAAGAUCAACAAUGGCAGGCGAGAGGGAUUUCUAUUUAAAUCGUUUCAACGUGAUCAACAUAAUGGAUGACCAUAGAAAUUUCAAAAAAAGAUGACUAAUUGUAAGUAUACUUUACAAAGAGGAAGAAAGGCAGGAUAUAAGAUUGAAACGUAACGCUCUUACAAUAAAACGAAAUAUUUUAACUGCAAACGAAUGAAAGUACAUAAGAAAAAGGUUCAAAUAUAUGUAUACUAAACAUAGGCUCGUAUUAGAAUUAGAAAAAACGUGUAGAUAGUUUCUAACGGGUAUAAAAAGUUGAAUCAAAUAAGGUAUUACAAACAAAUUUUCUAAAAGUAAUUUAAAGCACUACGUAAUUGAAUAGAAUUUUUAUACCGACAUAUUUUUGGUAUUUUUAUUUCACGAGGAAACAAAGUUAUUCAAAAAUACUGUUUCAUUGAAACAAAAAGUAGGUGUGUCCUACUCUUAUCUUUUAUCAGACAUUUCUGAUAUUUGUUUGCUCCCCUCUCUCCACCAUCCAAUAGAUAAUCUCCGAGUUAAAUUCGAUCGAUAAAAAGAAAAAGAAAAAGAAAAUUAUGAAUCACGAUAUAUCUGCAAUAAUUUUAACGACAAAAAACCUUGUAACACAUUAUUUGGGCCACCCCUUAUACAAUGUAGUACUCGUCGUCGUCCACGUGCUCUCUCAACGAAGAUAAGAUAAAAGGUGAUAUACAUUCUUUUUUCUUGUAUCUUUUUUUUUUAGUUUUCUCUUGUCUUUUUUCUUUUUUUUCUUUUUUUUUUUAACUCGCUAGAAAAAAGAACUCGUUCGUUGCAAAGCGGGAAAGGGGUCGAAGGUUGUCCACACAUUGCGAACUCGCAAAAAAAGAAGAGAAAGAGGAGCGUAUACGUUCUCUCGUAUAUAAAUGGACUUUAAUAAAGUUCAACAAAGAUUAGCUUGGAAUAGAAAAAAAGAGAGAGAGAAAAGUCGAUCGAUCUCGUAGACAUAUAUAUACAUAUAUAUAUAGAAAAAGAGAGAGAGAGAGUAUGUGUAUGAGUUUCUUGCCUAGUAAUCGACGCUCAGUACCUAUGGGAAAUACCAUGACAUCGAUCGAAACGCGUUUUCCGUUCUAGAUGUGCCGCUCCUUCGUUUGUUCGUCUAUAUGUACUUACGUUCUCAUACACUGUUCUCCUCGUAGUGGAAUUCUUCGAAAAGCUUGUGCAUUAAUCGGUACGUUUCCAUAUCUGAGAAAAAGAAAAAGAAAAAUCGAUCUCGCUCGAGACAAAUACAACAAAACGAACGAUACGUGUAACGUAAUUUCGUGGUACAUCAAAGACGAUUCAAACCUAAUUUGUUUUCAUUGUUUUAACGUCUAAUUCACUUUUUUCUUUUCUUUUUAGAGAACAAACUAACUCUUAAAUUUUAUUCCGUGAGAAAGUACGUUAUAUUUUGUGUUGCGUGCUUUUUUAAUUAUUUUAGACACGUCGGUGCGUUUCGAAGUAGAUAGGUACUAUAAAAACAAAAGAGAAGGAAAGGAAAAGGAGAGAGAGAGAGAGAAAAAGGGAAAAGAAAAUAUACUUGUUUCGACGCCUAUGCAUCCGGACGGACGUAUCGUACCACGUGUCCCACUCUCGCGUGACUGGGUACUGGAAGCACGUGGCCCCCCACUACGCCUUGCCCAGGGCCCGUCGAUCGUUCAUAAGAAAGACAGAGAGGUAUUAGGUACAUAGAAAGAGAGAGAGAGAGAGACAGACAGACAGAGAGAGAGAGAGAGAGAGAGACAGAAAAAGGAAAGAAAGGAGAUGAAAACAGGGAGGAAGCUUGAGGGAAGAAGAAAAAGGAUAGUUAGAGAAGGGAGAAAUAGAAAGAGAGAGAGAGAGAAUAUACGUUGGCUAGGAAAAGGGGUGCUUUUGUUAGAAGGAGAAAGAAAUAGUACUAGAGAGUACGAGAAGGGAAUAGGAUGGAACACGAAGCACAGGAGAUUUUGGUGGGGUCGAUAGUUGCUCGAAUUGUCGAGAAUGCUGGUCGUAUAUAAGAAAACGGAUAGCUAAGAAGUAUUUACUCGAUAUAUCAAGGUACAUUAAUCGUCUCUGUUUCUUUUUCCUUCUAACUCUCUCGCCACUUGUCUAUCUAUCUAUCUAUCUAUCUAUCUAUCUCUUUUCAAGAGAAAGAUUUCUUUGUCAUAAUUCAGCGGUGAAAGAAGAGCAAUUGGCAUUUACAAAUGACGCGAUAAACAAAUCGAAUAUUAGAAUGAAUUAAAGAAUUACUGUUUUAUAUUAUGUAGAGAUAUGCGGAUGUAUAUUUGUGUGUAUGUGUGUGUUUUGUUUUAACCAUUAGCUUCGUCACGUGUUAUUGAUAAUGUUUAAAGAAUACUGAUGUAUAAUUAGUCGGACUUGGGUAUACAUUUUUUCUCUUUCUUAAUAAAUACAUAAAUAGUACAUGCAUAGAUAUAAUCUAUUCCUCUGUACGGAAAUCGUGGAAUAUUCCUUAGCAAUUCCACGAAGGAAAAAACAUUUGAUUUGAGUUUAAUCUAAUCCGCAUUCUACUCUGCAAAUCUAACCGCACAGCUUCAACGAAUUACGACGACGACGACGACGAGGACGACGACAACCAUGAACGUACAUCCCGAUGAGUCGACUUAUCCGUUUUCGCGCGUCAGCUCUAUACUUAGAUCUUAUACGUUUAUAAAACAGGGUACAACGAUGAGCGAGAGUCUUGUACAGGUGCUAUGAAUUGAGAAUGUCAUCGGCGACAGACUUCGGCACGCGUCAGAAUGUCUUUUCGAGUAAUGACAGUAUGGCGGUUUACGCAACCGAAAGUUUCUAAUGUUAAUGGUUAAAACGGGACACGGGACUAAAAGUAGUUACACGUAGUUACAUAUCGAUUGAUUACAAAAUACAUAGUUAAACGUCAUUAGUUAGUCUUUAAAUAUGAAUACAUAUAUACAUAUAUAUUAUAAAUAGAUAAUUGUAUAAUAAGAAUGAAAUAUUCUUUCUUGAUAUCUAACAGCAUUUCUUUAAAUCUCUAUUAUUCGAUCGUUGGAUGUAUUAACAAGAAAAGUGUGAUAUUAAUUUCGUGAUAUAUCUAUAUGCAUAUGUGUUAAUCGAAAAUGAAAUGAUUCCCGAAUCGAGUUAACUAGUUUUAUAAAAAAAAAAGAAAAGAAAAGUAUUGUUUCAAGGUACAUAUAUCUAAGAUUUUUAUCAAUGUGAUUAUUUGUAAGUAAACACGAGAAGAUUGAAAUCUUAUUUACGAUAACGUCCCCGUGCAACGAAAUAAACAUGGCGCAAACGAGAAAAGAAUCGAAAUAAAGGGUGAAACCAAGGAAAGGCGUCCACGUAUGUAACUUACAUAGAUGGUUACAUGUACGUAUGUAUACAUACAUAGUUACUUAGAUGCUUACGUAAGCACGUACGUAGAUAAGAAAGCACGUUUAUUCGAGAAACGACGUGUUUGAAGUUAGCUUACUCGGCAAGAGUACGAAUCGAAUAGGAUUCGCAUUACGUUUUCUUUUUUCUUCUUUUACUUCUUCUUCUUCUUCUUCUUCUUCUUCUUCAAGAAAAAAGAGAAAGAGAGAGAAACAAGAAGAAUCAUUUCGAACAUUUUCGAAACACACGUCGUAAUAUUUAAUCAUUGCCGUGGUUACGAUACUCGUAAUCGUGGGUCAGAAUUGCGGAAGUGAUUAUCGACGGCCGCGAAAAAAACAUGACGGUGGAACGAUCCGCGUUCAAGGUUCGCGAGUGCAUGUGUAUUUCUGUUGAAGAACUUCUAGACAGUUUAGCCUAUAGCGAAUGUUAUUACAUAACCUAUUGACCUUUAUCGCGUUCGCGUUAGAAUAUUUACUGCGGUGAUAACCGAGAGAGGUAAAUCCUUUUAGACAGUGCGCGAGAAAUAUGAAAAUAUGAAAGAAAUAUUACACAGUGACGAAUUCCAAAAUGACAAGUUACAACUUAGAGUUUAUAUUUUUUAUCAUGAUUUUCGAUUGCUUCGCAAGAGGUAAUUCAUUGUCGAGUGUCUUAUAUCACAUCGGUGAUACAAGAAAUUUUAAUGAAUCAUUAGGUUUCAAUGAAAAGAGUGUAUAAAUAUUUGGUCAAAUGUUGCCUUUCGGAUAUAUAUCUACGUACAGGCCUAUCAGAUAUAUUUUAGUAUCGUUUCACAUCUAUUACUGUUUGAUGUUUUCAAUCGACGCGUCGAAAGAAGCCGCAGGAUCAUUUGGACGAUCCAAUAUAAAAGAAAAACGAAAGAGAAAAGUAGCUUCGAUCAUAAAGUUACUAAUCGAUAUCGUUGACUCGAUACGAACUUUCAAUUCCUUUUCUUUCAACUUUUUAUUCGAUUGGAUCAAACAAGGGACGAAAGGUGUGGUUAAGAGAUUAAGGCAUUGGCGAUUUCCUGGCGAAUUCGAGAAAUAGGCCGUGAUAGUAGCGUGCACGCGCGCGCGCACACUCUGCUGCCAACGGCAGUAACAGUAACAGUAAUAGCAACAGCAGCAGUAGCAGCAGUAGCAGCAGCAGUAGCAGCAGCAGCAGCUAGCAGGAGGUAGGUCGAUCCAAUUGGGGUUCGGAUAGCAGCUCAGCAGCGCGAUACCCUCUCCCCUCUGGAGUUUCCGUGGCGAUCAAUACCUACGGUGCCAAAGCCGAGCCAGACUCUGCCGAUUUUCCACGAGGAACAAACAAAUAGGAAAAGAAGAAGGAGAAGAAGAAAAAAAUUAAGAAAGAUCGAUGAAAAAAUAAUUGAUCCAAUUGCAUGCUUAAUUAAUAAAUCGUCAAUAAUUUACGAUCAUCCAAUCCCAAUGGAAAAUUUAAACAGUCUCCUUUUUCCUUCUUGCUCGGUUUUUCAUUGACAAAAUCAAAGUUACAAAUUGGGAUAAUUGGAUCGAAGUCAUGAAUCAGUGCUUGUGUGUGCGUGCGCGUGCGUGUGCUUGCGCGUGUCGAUCGUGACGAUAAAAACAGUGUUAAAAGGUAAAAAGAAAAUCGAAUACGCUUGGUUUCCGUCGAUACACGUUGGUUUUUCCCCUAAGCAACCGGAUCCACGCGUCUCCGUCUUGCGCACGCGUUGCGACAGCGCGUAAUUACGUCACGCGAUCGAACCUUCGUCGCUACGCGCGUUUACAUGUUUGAAAUCCCGCUAAGAAAAGAGAAGAGAAGGAAGAUGGAAGAGUACGUACGUAUAUAUGUAUGUAUGUAUGUAUGUAUGUAACGAAAGAGAGUGGCUUUCACAAUAAUCUUUUUUUUCUUCUUCGUUUUGUAUCAUAGACGCAACACAGCUAAGUCUUUUCUCUCGCCUACACGUAUUUAAAAACACUUAACAUUUCGAUUAGGCCAUCGGCGUGAUUUCGAAAAUAGUACGUCGCAUAAAUUAGUCUCCGAAUACAUAAAGUCGAAACAUCUGUUUUGUUUUAAGAACCAAGAUGGUCGUUCUUACUCGCAAAUGAAAGAUUUUAUUGGCAUAGGGAAUGAUCUCCUUUUCUCUCUCUCUCUCUCUCUCUCUCUCUCUCUCUCUCUCUCUCUCUCUCUCUCUCUCUCUAUACAGACAACUCGAUCGAUCUAGAACUAACAAUAAGUCCGACUACACGGUUGGAAGGAGAAGAUCCAACAUGGAUUCUGGUAAGGUCGUUGCUGAAGCGAGCAAACGGGUAUAGCCUACUCGCGGAUACUUAGAAACGCGCUUAGAAACCACGAGAGAACAUAGAUAGAGGCUUGAGAGAAGAGAAGAGAAGAGAAGAGAAGAGAAGAGAAGAGAAGAGAAGAGAAGAGAAGAGAAGAGAAGAGAAGAGAGAGAGACAUAUAUACAUAAGCUUGGAGUGUUAGCAGAGCCGUAGAGGGGGAGGAACAAAGAAAGAGUCCUAGCGACCAGCAAUGCGGCACCGGUGAGCGCCUGCGCGCCUCGCUAUGUGAGUCAAGGACGACACGUGCAGCUCGGAACGACCUACUUAUAUUCCCGUAGCUUCGCGCACAAUCGGUGCCGGCACGAACUUUCCCGAGCGCGGAAAUAGGACGACCGACGGUGGAGUCGGUGGAGUCCUAAUAUUUCACAGCGAUCACCUCCGCCUCCGCCUCCACCUUCGCCUCCACCUUAUUCUCCUCCUCCUUCUCCACCUCUUCCUCCUCCCCUUGCUUCUCCUCCUCAUCCUUUUUCUUCUUCCUCUACUUCGUCUUCUGGAUUCUAUACGACUAAGCAAUAGCAGCAAGCGUUGGCAUUCGAUCUUCCCAGCAGUAGUAAACUAUAAUGUGCGGAUCGUUCCUGGUGAUUCCUCAGGAAGCUUUACAUUCUUGUGAACCAGGAAGUAGCCGAGCAAACUUCCGGUCUCUCGUGAAUCUCUUUCGGACAUGUUCGCGAUCUUUCGUUGUCUAUUUUUCUCUCUCUCUCUCUAUGUGUCGGUAUGUGUGUGUUUGUGUACGUGUGUGAUCGAGAUCCAUGUUACGUAAGUUAGAAUGUUAGAAGAAAAAGAAGGAAAGAAAAGAAAAACGUCCGCUCGUUAGAUUCUCGUAGGAGCUUCGAUUCGCGUCAUCGAAGACGCGAUAAGAGGGAGAAACGUUUGUAGAGAGAUAGAAAGGAGGGGCGGGCGGGGUGGGAGGGGGAGGGGAAAGAGUUAAAACUCAAAGAAAAAGCAGGACGAGCGUGGGGUUGGCUAGAAUAGAGAAUAGAGAAGAGGAAUAUAGGAAUCGCGAUGGGGGAGGGUGGGGAGGAUUCGAAAGAGAGUUUCGACGGCAGGAGGCAUCGCGCGCAGUGUCCUAGAUGCAGAAACGGCAGGAUCGAUAGAAAAAUGGGUCAAACAUUCGAGUAGCAUUCGGUUGACGAGAACCAACGGCAGUCUGGCGAUCGCGCUCGAGACGAUCGCUCCGCUCCGUUAAAAUUCACUCUCUCUCUCUCUCUCUCUCUCCUCUCUCACUCUCACUCUCUCUCUCUCUCUCUCUCUCUCUCUCUCUCUCUCUCUCUCUCUGUGUCUCUAUCAGACGGAAACAGGUGACCGUCGUAGGACGUUGAAACGAGUUUGUGAAUCGUCGUUUGAAAUCAAAUUGAAUCGCCGAUAGUUACUAUUCUCGUGCGAAUUAAUUCCGUCGUAAUUAAAGAGACCACGACGAAAGAAGAAGGACGAAAUGGAAAGAAAGAUCGCAAAAUUCGUAGUCGUUCGUUAUACGCGGGGGGGCUUCCUAACUAAAAAGUAGAAAGGUUUGAGUCUUUGUGGAUUGGCGCGCUCGAGGCGACGUUGUUGGCUUGUCGCGCGUCGUUUAAGCGCUUCCUUCCCCGCCAUGAGAGCAUAAGUAGCGCGUUUCCGCACGCGGUACGGCCAGUUCUCGUUCGACCUUAUCGCCGCGAGCUCGGCACGGGCUUCUUGUUUCUCCUUGGCGGGCUGCUGCCCCACCCUACGGUGUUGUAGUCCCACCCUCUCUCUCUCUCUCUGUAUUCUCUCUCUUUCUCUUCCCCGUUCCUCCCUCUUGCUCGACCCUAUCCCUCUAUCCCCCACCCCCGUAUUCGGACCCCCUCUCCUCCCUCUCGCCUCCCCUCCUUUCAUCUCUCCCACCUACGGUGACACUCGAAGGAAGCGCGCGUGCUCGUCGCGCGCGCCCAACUCGACCAAUCGCGAAGCGAGUAGCAACGGUUCUCGACCAACGAAACUCGACCGCGGAUCCGUGCGAGUGCGCGCUUGCGAUCUCGUAGUUUCUCUCACCGGAUGCCGCGAGCGCGCGCUCAUCGUGGUGGGGAUAAAGCUGAGAGAGCGGCACGGGCUUCGCGCUCGAGCGCAUCCUCGUUCGUCGUUGCUCGCCCUCGGGGUCGGUCGCGUUCCGCGAGACUCUCUCUCUAUCUCUCUCUCUCUCUUUAUCUAUCUAUCUCUCUCUUUCUCUCUCUCUCCCUUUUUCCCUCUUUCCCUAUUUUCCUCUCAUAUUCCUUGUCCUUUAUUCCUUAUUUCAUUCCUUUUACUACCUUCCCUUUUUUCCCUCUAUUGUUAACGUAAUUUUACCUUCUACGUUCCAUACUACGUUCGUUCGAUCCUUCGUUCGUACGCUCGCUCGUUCGUUCGCUCGCUCGCUCGCUCGUUCGCUCGUUCGCUCGUUUAUUCGACGUCCGAUAACGUCGACGGCCAUCAUGGUGUGUCCAACUCAGUUCGCGACAUUUCUUUUUUACCUUCACCUUUCGGAAAAGCUCCUUCUUCCUCCUCCUCUUCCUCUUCUUCUUCUUCUUCUUCAUCAUCGUCGUCGUGAUCAUCACCAUCAUCAUCAUCAUCAUCGCAGUCAUCGUCAUCGUUCUUUUACAUUCCCUUAUAUUUCAAUAAUUUUCGAUACGUCUCUUUUACUGUGUCGCCCGCAGCUAAAACAACGACGACGAUGACGACGACGACGUGACCGGAAACUCGCAACAACUUCGACUCGUUCGACCUCUCUUUCUCUCGAUCGUGCGAAAGCAGCGAUUAUUAUAUUCGCGAUUAAUUCCCUUUUCGUGUUUUAUCUUCUUUUUCUACAGAAAAAACAAAGGAAAAGAAAAGAAAAAAGAAAGGAUUAACUUCCGCAUUCUGGAAUCCGCUACUGCUAACGCGUCCGGGAUUUCUCGUCAUCGAGAGAUAUCGAAAGUGGGUCACCGGUUCUUCUUCCGCUUUCGCACGCUUUCGUUCUUUCGUCGAUCGAGUUGCCGUUUGAUAUAAUAUUUAAUUCGAUUCUUUUUUUGUCUUUUUUUUCUUGUAUUUCUUUUGUCCGUUUUUCUUUUUUUUUUUUUAAUAUUGCCUUUCCUUUUUUUCGUUCUUUUAAUUUACACGCAAAAGAAGAGAAGAGAUACGAUCGUGUGAAAAAGUGAGUACGAGUUGGAAGUUCUUGCCGUGCGAGAAGAGACGAAUGUAAUAGUAAUAAUAAUAAUAAUAAUAAUCAUAAUCAUAAUAAUAAUAACAAUAAUUAUAAUUAUAAUAAUAAUAAUCAUAAUAAUAAAAAGGAAGGUAUCGAAAGGGGAAGAGACAGUUGCAAGAGGAGAAAAAGGGGUUUGCACGCGAGGGGUUCGAGACCCUUUGUGUGAACGGAAAAAAGGUUGAAGAAGAAGAAGAAGAAGAAGAAGAAGAAGUAGAAGUAGAAGAGAAAGAAAAAGAAGAAGGAGCAAGUGAAAGGAAGAGAGAAGAAAAAUAAAAAGGGAGGAGAAAUAAGGGAAAAAAUAAAAGCAUCAGAAAGAAAGAAAAAAAAAAGAAAAGAAAAAAGAAAGAAAAGAAGAAAGAAAAAAAAGAAAGAAAAAAAGAAAGAAAGAAAGAAAGGGAAACCAUCGACAAUCCCACGUCGUGGUAACUUCGUGUCCGUGCCUUCUGGUCUCUUAGUGGGUAAAGAUGGCGGUCUUGUCGCUCGUUGGUUCGUUCGGCGAGUGGUAAGAGGGGAAAAUGUGACGCAACCCAUCAUCACGUGAUCGAACCGUGGCUGGCCUCUCUCGCUGGGCCAGUGUGUGAUCUAACGUUUGUUACGACGGUCGGUCGUGGAUCGAUAGGACCAAAAUAUAUAAGUAUAUAGGGAGAAAGAGUAUAGCUCGAAUAAGACAAUGGUGCUUGGGAGUGCGAAAUAAUGGAAAAAAAAAGGGGAAGAAAUGAACGUGGAGACUGGCCAACGUUAUCCGUCCUUCUCUGUUCCACGUCGAUGCCGCGAGACAUAACGGACGUCUUCUUAACCCGCGUACGGACAUACGCACGCACACGUACACGCAGGGGGUGUUCCAACCGUCGACUCUCGGUCGCUGGGUCAGUGGGGGUGAGAAACUGGCUUGGCUCUGCGUAACGACAGUCAGUCUUUUUCUCUCUCCUAUCGGCCUCGCGAAUUAGCUCUCUUUCUCUUUCUUUCCUUCUACUUGUUUAACUAUCUGUCCAUCUAUUUUUCUGUCUAUCUAUCUAUCUAUCUAUCUAUCUAUCUAUCUGCUUGUCUGUCUAUUUGUCUGUCUAUUUAACUAUCCAUCCAUUUAUCUAUCUAUCUAUCUAUCUAUCUGUCUGUCUGUCUGUCUGUCUGUCUCUCUCUCUCUCUCUCUCUCUCUCUCUAGACGGAAAUGAUGUCACUCUCUCUUCGUCUCUCCAAAAAAAUAACUCUCUUCGGAGCCAACGUAAGAAUCUUAAAAAUUGGGAAAUUGGUGCCCGAUUUUUAUUCCCAAAGAUACGGACGAAAGUUGUUAUAGGUGUUCUCGGACUCAGCAGUGAGAGCCGUGUUCCCCCAGCUGUAACGUGCUUUGUUUAGUGGCUCUGGGAUCAUGGAAGACACUGCGCGAGUACCGAACGUUCUGCGAUAUAGUACGAAUUCUUUAUCCUUCUAAGAUCAUGGACUCUUGAGAGUUUCCUUGAUGAUUAAGAAAAAAUGAAAAAAAAAAGAAAGAAAGAAAAGAAAAAAGAGCAAGAUUUCGAGAUCGUCAUAAAUACUUGGUCGUUGAUGUUACGUGCCUCACGACGCAGGACGUUUCAUCGAUUAGAUUUCUCGUAAUCAUUCUUUAUGUCUUGCAAUCGAAAUUUCAUACGUGUGAUAUGAGAAACUGAAAAUGUAUAUAUAUUUAUCUAUUCGUGAGCAAACGUAUACGUGAUUAAAUCAAAGUCCAACGAUUGAAAAUUCUUGGUGUCGUUAGCAAUAUUGCACCUGCCGCACGAAAUAUUGCCGAUGGCUCGAAACAACGGCACAGCAACAGCACCGAGCAAGAACGAACCGCUUUUGCUGGUAUUAUAAUCGCCGUUGCAAGAUCCCCGACUAAGUCGCCGUUCACCUCGACCAUUUUAUACUUUCUAAAGCCGCUUACUUUCGUAACUUGGCAAAUACCGUGGUGGCCUCGUUGUAUCUACCAUUGCCGAGUUCUACACAGUUAGCAUUUAUAUGUGUGUCCAAGUUGAAGUUUUCUUUCCCUUACUCUCUAACAUACAGUAAUUAGAUGCGUAGUACGUAUGCGUACGAAGAAUUAAUUCUUUCGUUUUUUUUGUAUUUGUAAAAAAUGUUUUCUAUUUUUUCUUCUUCGUUUUUCCUUUUUUUUUUUUUAUUCAUAGGAAAUCUCCAGUCACGUUGCGUCGUUAUUAAGUUUGUCCUCGAACGAUAGAUCAUCUACGCUUAUUCAUAUCUCUUGCGCAAUGAUUAUUGCGCUGUUAUAAUCUCACUUCGUAAAGUAUAUAUGUACGUUUGAAGAAUUCAUUUCUUCAAGAGGUAAUUACAAUUAAAACGAUGAUUGUCAGAGGAGAGGAGGAAGAGGAAAAGGAAGAAGAAGAUAUCUACGUAAUUUUGUACAAUUCCGAGAAUAAUUGCGGUAGUUUAUAAUCGACGAUAUAGUAAACGCUUUUAAGAUAACGGUCAUAUAAAAGUUACUUUAUAUGAAAGUAAUAAAUGAUAAAAGAAUUGAUAACGAUCAAUGUGGCAGGUAAUUUUAUCUCGAUAGAAAAAGAGGGAGAAAAAGAGAGAGAGAUGAGAGACUAACAGGACUAUGGAGGUAAGUUUGGAAAGUUACGGUUCGUCGUGAAUAAAAAAAAUCGAACGAGGCGGAGAGAAAGAUACGAGUGUGUAUGUACCUACAUAAGAAAUAGAGAGAGAGAGAGAGAGAGAAGGUGUAUACGAGUAGAAAAGGGAAGUGGGACUAGCUUGCCUUGUACUACUUUCUUGCACAGUUACAGGAACAGCGAUAGGCAUCGACUCUUAGCGCAAGAACUUACUUAGAUAUAAACUCUAAGAUGAAUCGAAUUGAUCUACGACGCUUAUAUAUUUUCAUAUCAAAACUUGGAAAUAUUAAAAAGAAAGGAAAGACAAAAUAUAUAAAAAUAUAAGUCAACGAAUUGAAUAAUAGAUACCAGUUAAAAUUACUUUUUGAAAGCAUCAUUUUUUUAUAUAUUUAGAAAACGAUAGAAUUCAUUAUUGAUAUAUAUAUAUAUGUAUAUAAUGUAUACAUAAUCGUUUGAAUCCUAUUAAUUCCAAUCACGUUUAAUCUCUUAACAAGCUUAAUUGUACUCCGUUUAAUAAUCCAAUAAUCCACGUAUAACGUUUGCGACUUAACCGUAGAGUAUUCUUAUACUUAAAACAAAAAAUGUAAUGCGUUAAACGUUUCUUAGAUAUAUAUGUAUAUAUAUUACAUACACACGCGAUAUGUAAGUAGAAUUACAUUCGUGAUCUUUGCCGAACGAAUGAACGAACGAACGCGCGCGGGUGGCCUAGCGCCAUUUUAUAGAAGGCCUCGCUUUGCGGCCAUCUUUCGCGUAACAACUCCAAAUGUUUCCGCCUUCGUUCGUUUCAGCUUGCGUCUCUACGCUCUUCACCACGUACAUAUGUAGUAGAUUUCGUUUUAUCCGGCAUGUCUAAUUUUACACGGUGACCUCGAAACCGUACUUCGUCCUACCCACGUUCCCCUCCUCGUACUUGAAAAUGAAAGAAAAAAAAAAGAAAAAAGAAUAUAAAACGAAAUGAAUGAAGAAUCUCUUCGGAAAGAGGAGAGUAAGAGAGAGAGAGAGAGAAAAUAUAUAAGUAUAACCGACAUUUGAUAAAACUGUGUAUAAGAUUGUUGAAAUAAAUCAAUUUUUACUCGUGUUUCAUGUCAACUUUGAAUUUUUCUCUUCCUUGUCUAGAUUUACACAAACGACCUUUCUUCAUUCAUGUUUUACCAAGUCAAACGUUUAUUUAUCUUCAGCUUCAUCCGGUUGCACGUUGCAAGGUCAUCAUACACUUCCGCCUACUUGAUAUAAUAAUCGAGUAUAAACGUGAACAUAUUUUGUAAGAACAUCUAAAUUCAUUAAUCAUUUUGAACGCAAUAAAACUCCGAUUUUACCACCAAUAUAUUAUCGAUACCAGAACUCAGCGAUUUGUUCUUUUUCUUCGCAACGAAAUGACUACUCGCGAUCCGUUUUUUUUCUUUCCUUGUAAGAAAAUAUUCAAAGCGCCUCCCUUACGAGAUAUCUCCUUUUUCUUUCUUUCUUUCUUUCACAUUUAUCAAACGGGAGAUAAGUUCGUCGGUUCAAGGUUAAAGGUUUCACCUGCCUAAUGGUAGAAGAGUAAAGAGGAAGAGGGACGACGGAGUAUGGUCGAUUUCGUUUUUUUGGGGUGAGAUUGUAGGCGUCGACGCCAAUGCCGUGGAUGACAUCAUUGCGAAACGGUCGUUUCGUUCGUGGAGCCGUGUUGGUGGAGGAUGACGAUGAAGAAGAGGAGAAAGAGGAGAAGGAGGAGAAGGAGGAGGAGGAGGACGAAGAGGAGGAGUGGUAAAGUCUGCGGAUGAUUCGUGAGGGGUGAAGAGAGCCGGGAGGCCUUGCGAGAACUAUGCGAAAAGAGGAAGAGGAUGGGUCGAGGGGGGAAUGAGAUGCGCACACGAUGACUAGAAAGAGAAGGAGAGAAGAAGGGGGUAAGGGAGGAAGCACGUAUAUAUCCGUGUAUACGUGUAUGCGUUUGUUGCGCGAUUGCGCGUACCUAACCAGCGAAGCAAGCUUACACACGUGUGUGUAAGGAAAGGUGAUGGAAGCGAGAAAGACGAGAUUGUAGAUGGGAGAGAAGAGGAGAGAGGUGGAAAAGGGGGAAGAGAGCAUGAUAUAAGCAUGCCGCGGUCAAUCCGCGUAGUGGGGCGAAGCGGGCAACCAGGCCUUGAAGAAGGAAAAGAGAACAAAAGCGCACGCUCUGCGACUAUGCGCUGCGUAGCGCGCGCUUCUGUGAGAGAGAGAGAGAGAUCUCCGCGAGAGCUCGGAGGAAGAGCAAGAGAACGAUGGAUGCCUGAACGGAAUAUUCCGUUCGGAGGGUGGAACGUUUCUCUCGCUUGUGUAGUAGAGAAUUAUAUCAUAGUGGUAGUGAACGUAGAAGAGGAAGAAGAAUAAGAAACAUUGCGACGCAAAGGCCAAGCAGGACGUUCAUCGUAGUUGUCGUUGUCGUAGUCGUAGUCGUCGUCGUCGUCGUCGUCGUCGUCGUCGUCGUCAUAGUUGUCGUGGUUAUCGCUGAACGUACGUAUGUACGUACAUACAAUGCGUAUCUACAACACAGCAACGAGAACGUUCGUACUACGCGUAGAACAGGCCGCGUUGCGUAACCGCGACGAUAUCAAUUAUUAAGCACAGCCUUCGCUUCGAACUAGGCGAGAACUUCAACACCAGUGGCGACUUUCUGGCCACGUUUUGUGAUUCCUAAAUUCGAUUAUGUAUUCUUUUCGAUUUCUUCUCAAGAGGCCAUUUUUCUCUGUCUUUUUUUUUUCUUUUCUUUUUUUCUUUCUCUCUUUUUUUAACUCUGCAAACGAUCGCUCGCUCGCUCGUUCGUUAAUUCGUCCUCGCACGAUCCAUCCUCUGGGUAUUCUCUCUUUAUUUUGUUCUCUUUUUCCUUCUAUUUUUUUUCCUUUUUCUUCUUUUAACUUUUUAUCAGUAGAUUCACGCUUUUCCGCACCGCAUCGCACGCUAUCGCGCUGCAUUAACCCGCAAAGCCGGACGACAACGCUGCUACGUCGACACCGCAAGCUAUCGCGGUUUUAUUCUUUCUUUCCUUUCUUACAUACGAAUUUAGAAUCGUAAACUUGCCGAGAUAAAAACUAUGUACGAGAAGGAAGUUUGACGGAACGAUUAUGUCGUAGAGGAAAAGGAAAAAGAAGAAGAAGAAAGAGAGGAUACGACGAUAGUCUUGAACGAUAACAGCAACGAGAAUCAAAGUCACGUGGACGUUGAGGAGGGCUUUGAAAGAUCAUACAUAUAUGCAGAUAGAUAAUUGAAAGUUCUCAAAGAUCUCCGAUGUUAAUCUUUCAUCUUUGAUCGUUCCAUCUUUCCUAAAUUCCGAAAGAGAAAUGAUGUUUAUUUUAUUUCGAAGAGUAUUAAAGGCUUAAGAGUAGGAAAAUCUCGAAAAAGGUAGAAAGGAGGAUGUAAAGCGAAAAGUGGUAUUCGUAAAGACGAGGGCGGAACGUUAAAAGGGAAGGAAGCAGAAAAGAUGGAAGUGUAAGUGGUAGGGAUGGGUUUACGAUGCGGAUUCAUAAUCCGCUUCUUUACCGAAAAACCCACCCUAACUUUCACCCUCGCACCAUUCCGAGACGUGGCACUUCCAAAGAUGGCUGCCAUGGCAGGAGGUCAGCGGGUGUGCGCUUAGACCACGCCCUACGACGCGUCGCAGGCAAACCAAACGAAGCUUUCUAAAGGCGAUUAGUUCGCGGUGGAUCCGAGUGGAGGCCGUGCGAAGCGAAGCCGACGAUGUUGACGCGUCAAGGGCGCUUCAAGGACGAAGAGCGCUCCUCUUUUAGGAAGGACGCGCGCGCACACUCCCGCAAUCUUUCUCUUUCUCUGUCUCUCUCUCUGUCUCUUCUUUUCUCUCUCUCUUUCUCUCUCUCUCUCUCUUUUCGUCUCCCUUCUUCCCGGAAAUCUUCUUCCCUUCCUAUCGUCCGCCAUUCUUCUAGGGUCCCUAGAGGCAACGCCGCACCCUACAGCCUUUCUUCUAUAUUCCAAAAAUAUCGACGUGACUUUCCAACGCCAAAAUUCAACUAAUUUUGUACUUUUCUUUCUCUCCCGCUUUUUGUUUUUUUUUUUUUUCCUUUUACGCUUAAGGAAUAUCUCUACGUUUUAUUCGAUGAUCAAUUUGUAUUCCAACGUCGGAACGUCGAGCAAAACAAUUCUAUAUCUAUCUGCUAUUAGAUACAUAUAAAUAGUAGAUGUAACAAAAUCAAUGCGAUAAGUGAUUUAAUCGUCCGAUACGCAUUUGGCAACUCUCCCUUAUUACUUAUAACAUUUGACGCAACGAUCAAAGGUUGAGUCUAAACAUUAAAGAUACGAUAACAACAUGGUAAUUAUUUUCGAUCUUAAUAAUUUAUUGGAAUGCAUGUAAGAAAUAUUGAAAAUUAUGCGUGAAUUAUGUGACGAAUGAUAAAGUUACUCAAACAAUGUAUAAAUACUUGUGUAUAUUAUAACGCACGAUUUUCUUUCUCUGUCUGUCUCUGUCUCUGCCUUUCUCGCUUUCUCUCUCUUGACCACCCUUUUGAUAAACCAAAUGUACAUGACGUAUAUGACGCAGAAACGAGCGUGUUUCCAACUAAUCUAUUAACUCGGUGACGCCUCUGAUCGUUAUUUCACACGCACGUUUCUCUUCGUACACCUCGCCUCGCCCCGAUGAAAUCAUCCUAUUUGGAUCUUACAAACGAUUAAUCCUAGUGGCAUGAUUCUUCGAAGUCAAGGAAGCUCUUAACGUAAUCAUAAAUAAUUACCGUGAAUACCGUAGUUAAAAAUCAGCAUAAAACAAGUAUUCUUUGUUAUGGGAAACGAAGAAAGUUGCGAGCAGCAGUCAUAAAUAAUUACUCCAUCAAAUAUCCCAAUUAACGCAUUGAUCGUCAAACUAAUUCUACAUGAAACAAUAUACUCAUAUAUUAACACGUCUAAAUUUUUGAACAUGAAACACACAAGAGAUUUCAUUGUUACAAUAUCCACAAUAGAUGUUACCCUUUAACAAGGGGUAAAUUCAUAAUGAAAGAUAUACGUACUUAUAAUCGUUAACAACGUUUGAAAUAAAUAAUCCGUAAAAUUAAAUGCCAAUAACAGAUAAUCCGCCAUGCAUCUCAAUCAAUGUAUUAAUUAACCUAUCAUUAAUUAAAAUCAUUCCAAUCAAUAGAUAGAUGUACAAAUAUCAUGAUUGAAUAGUUAACCAUUUCCUUGAGAAACGAAAGAGAUAGGACGAUAUAGAGAAACGAUAUUAGAAUUACUCCAUUAUAUCGAUGACGUAUUCGAACUGUUGGCGGCUGUUUGUGAAAAGUAAGUACUACGAAGUUCGACGAGAGAAAGAAAGAGAAAGAGAGAGAGAAACGAAUGUUGCCACGAGCCGUGAGAAGCAUGGCGCUUUUAGAAGGGGCCGGGGUGAUGCUGCGAAGAAGGAAGAGGCAGGAGUUAGGGAAGUGGAGGAGGAAAGGGAGGAAGAAGAGGAGAAUGUAGAAGAAGAAGAAGAAGAAGAAGAAGAAGAAGAAGAAGAAAUAGAAGGAGGAGGAGAAGCGGAGGAUGGUAUUUCCGCUGUUGCAUUGCCUAUCCAUUUGGCAGGUUUGGCUGAGGGCAUGCGCACAACAUGUGCCCACCUACCUACUUACCUAUCUGUCCGUUCGUUUCUCGACCGCUUACCUGCUCGCUUGCCUGCCUUCUUUCCUGCCUGCUUGCCUGCCUGCUUGUCUGCCUGCUUGCUUGCUAGCUUGCUAGCUUGCUCGCUCGCUCGCUCGCUUGCUUGCUUGCUUGCUUGCUUGCUUGCUUGCUUACUUGGCCGCUUGCUUGACUGCUCGCCUGCCUACCGGUUUGCCUUGAUCCCUUGAAUAGCCACAUACAUAUACAUACGCACACAGUAGGUGGGUUGGUAGGUAGGUAGGUACGUCUUUCUUACGUAAGCGCCCGUGAGAGAGCGAGUUAUUACCACAGGGACGUCAAUAUGAGAAAGAGAGAGAGGAGAGACAGAUAAGGGGGAGAGAGACAGAGAGAGAAAGAGAGAGAGAGACCAACGGAUCCGGUACAAGGGACGUUCGAAUUUGACCCGUAGAUCGACUCGUUUUUAACCCUUCGUCAUCAUCAUGAUCUCUUGUCUUUUUUCCCUCCACUCUAUUUUUUUUCUUCUUCUUCUUCGUUUCAUUUCUUUUUUUGUUUUAUUCUAUUUUAUUCUAUUUUAUUUUUUUUUCAUUCUUCGCAGAAAGGACCUCCAAUUAUAUUUUCCAAAUCCUUGUUUUUUAUCUUCUUCUUCUUCUCCUCUUUUUUUUUCUUUCCUUUUUUUUUGGAAGUAUUACGUCAGAGUUAUGCUCUAUAGUUAUGUAAAUUUAUUAAAAAUAUGUAGGUAUGCUGCGUUCGUUCGAUUGAUCGAAAUACGUGCGAUAAAUAAUACGAUGACAGAGUAUGAUACGUCGAGUAUUAUU
Vespula vulgaris is the source of this 17912-nucleotide long non-coding RNA. RefSeq lists it as uncharacterized. The record is from RefSeq and is a predicted model, not a curated record. NCBI's taxonomy places the organism in Eukaryota, Metazoa, Arthropoda, Insecta, Hymenoptera, Vespidae. The transcript is spliced from 3 exons.